RNAcentral lists this ribosomal RNA (1146 nucleotides) under uncultured bacterium. RNAcentral's name for it is "bacterial SSU rRNA". It matches the Rfam family "Bacterial small subunit ribosomal RNA", at positions 146 to 1315 of the family's 1533-position model. The record is from RNAcentral.
ACGUUUGGAAACGAACGCUAAUACCGCAUAACGUAUCUAGACUGCAUGGUUAGGAUACCRAAGAUUUAUUGCGCAAGGAUGGGCUCGCGUCUGAUUAUGUAGUUGGUAGGGUAACGGCCUACCAAGCCGACGAUCACUAGCCGGACUGAGAGGUUGAACGGCCACAUUGGAACUGASAUACKGUCCAKACUCCUACGGGAGGCAGCAGUGGGGAAUAUUGGGCAAUGGGCGAAAGCCUGACCCAGCGACGCCGCGUGAGGGAAGACGGUCUUCGGAUUGUAAACCUUUGUUGACAGGGACGAAGAAAAUGACGGUACCUGUCGAGGAAGCCACGGCUAACUACGUGCCAGCAGCCGCGGUAAUACGUAGGUGGCGAGCGUUAUCCGGAUUUACUGGGUGUAAAGGGUGUGUAGGCGGGAAGGCAAGUCAGAUGUGAAAAUUAUGGGCUCAACUCAUAACCUGCGUCUGAAACUACUUUUCUUGAGUGUCGGAGGGGUAAGUAGAAUUCCCGGUGUAGCGGUGAAAUGCGCAGAUAUCGGGAGGAAUACCGGUGGCGAAGGCGACUUACUGGACGACAACUGACGCUGAGACACGAAAGUGUGGGGAGCAAACAGGAUUAGAUACCCUGGUAGUCCACACUGUAAACGAUGAAUGCUAGGUGUGGGGGCGAAAGCCUCCGUGCCGGAGUUAACACAAUAAGCAUUCCGCCUGGGGAGUACGGCCGCAAGGCUGAAACUCAAAGGAAUUGACGGGAGCCCGCACAAGCAGUGGAGUAUGUGGUUUAAUUCGACGCAACGCGAAGAACCUUACCAGGACUUGACAUCCCGGGAACCCGGCGUAAUGGCUGGGGUGCCCUUCGGGGAAUCCGGUGACAGGUGGUGCAUGGUUGUCGUCAGCUCGUGUCGUGAGAUGUUGGGUUAAGUCCCGCAACGAGCGCAACCCUUACGGUUAGUCGCUACGCAAGAGCACUCUAGCCGGACUGCCGUUGACAAAACGGAGGAAGGUGGGGACGACGUCAAAUCAUCAUGCCCCUUACGUUCUGGGCUACACACGUACUACAAUGGCGAAAACAAAGGGAAGCAAUACCGCGAGGUGGAGCAAAUCCCAUAAAAAUCGUCCCAGUUCAGACUGCAGGCUGCAUACCGC